RNAcentral lists this ribosomal RNA (497 nucleotides) under uncultured bacterium. RNAcentral describes it as "partial 16S ribosomal RNA". It matches the Rfam family "Bacterial small subunit ribosomal RNA", at positions 28 to 507 of the family's 1533-position model. The record is from RNAcentral.
GAUGAACGCUGGCGGCGUGCCUAAUACAUGCAAGUAGAACGCUGAAGGAAGGAGCUUGCUCUUUCCGGAUGAGUUGCGAACGGGUGAGUAACGCGUAGGUAACCUGCCUGGUAGCGGGGGAUAACUAUUGGAAACGAUAGCUAAUACCGCAUAACAGUAGAUGUUGCAUGAUAUCUACUUAAAAGGUGCAAUUGCACCACUACCAGGUGGACCUGCGUUGUAUUAGCUAGUUGGUGAGGUAACGGCUCACCAAGGCGACGAUACAUAGCCGACCUGAGAGGGUGAUCGGCCACACUGGGACUGAGACACGGCCCAGACUCCUACGGGAGGCAGCAGUAGGGAAUCUUCGGCAAUGGACGGAAGUCUGACCGAGCAACGCCGCGUGAGUGAAGAAGGUUUUCGGAUCGUAAAGCUCUGUUGUAAGAGAAGAACGAGUGUGAGAGUGGAAAGUUCACACUGUGACGGUAUCUUACCAGAAAGGGACGGCUAACUACGUG